RNAcentral lists this long non-coding RNA (22014 nucleotides) under Cucumis sativus (cucumber). RNAcentral describes it as "long non-coding RNA (CSAT_LNC001576)". Lineage: Eukaryota; Viridiplantae; Streptophyta; Magnoliopsida; Cucurbitales; Cucurbitaceae. The record is from RNAcentral.
CCGUUGAAGUUGAUGAGGCGGUCACUGAAGAACAUGCAUCUUGAUUUUCCAAACGUGUGGGCUCCUGAUAGAGCCACGAGAUCUGUAGAAUCAAGCCCUUGAUCUUUAAACUUGCCUUUAAGUCCCACUAGAGUUUCUGAGGGACCAGGUAAGUUUGAGGUUCCAGUUCUAUUGGCUAUUCUGCUGUCUUUUCUUCCCAUUGGUACAACCCAAAUUGGUCCUCCCGACUGCCAAAACACCAUAAAAGUUAACAUUAUUACUUGCCGAAGAUAACAAAUCUCCAUUUAUCUUUACAAAAGUAGGCAGGGUUUUACUUUUGGUUUUAAAAAAAAUGUUUUGUACCAUUCAAAAUAGUUGUCAUCUUAGCUUAUGUAGUGGGUAUGAGAUUUUAAUUUCAUCGCAUUCUCCGCAUCUCAAUUGAGCUACUUAUAGAAAGAAUAGGAAACAUAAAUUUAAUUAAAGUAAUUACCAAGAAAACAGAGAUUUGAGAUGAAAUGGCUAAGAUAUCAGCGCAAGAAACAACUCCUGGACAAGCACUCUCAACUGCUGCUUUGAUGUUGUCCACAAUGUCCAUUCCUUGGAUUCCACCAUUUGGAGGUCCAUUAAGUUCACUAUCGAUAACGCCCGGUACGUCUACCAAUAGAAUCGAUCCAUCACACCCCUACACAAAACCAAAAAAAAUAUUAAGAGUAGAUUCAUCCAUCAUGUUACAAAACAUUUACUAGAUAUGUGUUUAUGCAAUACGAAAAAAAAAAGAAAAUGAAAUAAAAUAAUACAUUGACAAAGCAAUCAUGAAAAUGGAGGCGAAUGAGCUUAGCAGCAGCUCGGUCAUCAGUCUGUAGGGCUUGGGCAACCACGUUGAGAACAACGAAAGGCAGCUGAGGGCAUGUGGUGGCGUAGAAGAAAGGAGAAAGCUGGGCUUGAGAGGGUGAUAGCAUCAAAGCCACCACCACAACAAUGGCUGCCAUUUUAGGUAAACCCAUUUUUGAUACUGCAAAUGGGGUCUUCUCUGGUCUUUGCUUUGGGGAUAAGAAACUUUGUGCAAACAUAUCUUCCUUUUAUACACACCCCAUCACCUUUAAUUUUUAGUAUACCAAACAACUUGGGAUUCAAUUAAACAAUACAAUAAUCCAACUCUAUCCCACAAUUAAAAUAUGACUUUUCUUUUUCUCUCUUUUUGAAAUUUGGUACUGCCUUGGGUUGGUUUUAUACCAUUAUUGCUUGUCUUCUUGUGUGUGUGUAUAUAUAUUUUCAAUGACCAUUCUAGUAAAUUUGCCUCCUUGUACGAUUUUCUUUUUCUAUCUUAUUAUGCACAUGAUGUAUAGCAGUGUGCAUGCAUCAACGUACACAUAGUUUAACGGGAAGAUUAUAUUGUUUCUUUGUUUAAUAAAUGAAGUUGUUGGGGAUUCAACUUUUAAAAUACCCAAAUUUUUUGUGAAGAGAUGGCUACUGGAUUUUUUGUGAGAUUCCAUAUUUUUAUAAUUUAUUUUAUGGAAUUGAUCAUCAAAUAUAAAAUUACAAGAUUAUUGUGUUGUUGUAAUUUUGUGACUAUUAAUAAUAAAUCCAUGAAUUGUCAAAAAUCUUAAAUGACAAGAUUGGUAGUUUAAAAGUUAUAUUUAUUAGACAUUUUGGAAAUAGAAAUAAAAAAUCUCUUAAAAGUAGAAAAAAUUAUGAAUUCCAAUUUUGAGGGCUGUUGGUAUCAAAAUUUCUAAUUAAGUUCAUUAUUAUAUGGUUACUAUCCAUUUAUAAGUUGAAGUUCUACUUAAUUUUUUUAAAAAAAUGUGAAACGUACUAAAAAGGUUUACUUUUAAAAUUGAAGGACGAUACAUACUUAUUGAUUGAUGAAGACUUCGAGAACUAAAAAAAAUAGAUUUUCUAUUUUUUUUAUAUUUAUAUUAUGUUUGUAACGAUAAUUCUUCAUGCCUAAAGCUAAACUUGUUGGGUAAGGUUGGAAAGAAGAGAAAGAGAAAAAGAAAUUACUACACUAUAAUAAGAAAAGAAACGAGGUAUAUAUUAUGAUAAUUACAAGUUUUUUACCAAAUGACAUUGCUACAAAAAGGAUAAAGAUGUUUAGUUGAAUUUAGAGUUUGUUUAAAUUGAUGGGAGAAAAAAUGUUUUUCAAUUUAAUUCCCUUUUAUUUAAAUAUUCUUUGUAAAAGUUAAUUAAAAUGCACUUUGAUGUUGUCACGAUGUCUAGGCCUUGGAUUCCAUUGUUGGGAGGUGCGUUCAAUUCACUGUCGAUAACACCAGGUACGUCUUCCAAUAGCACAUAUCCAUCACACUCCUACAUAAAUUGACCCAACAUCCAACGUAUAAGUCUUGCUUUAUACUUUCGUAUAGGAAGAAGUGAGAAGAUGUUUGGCUAAACAAAAAAAAAAAAAAGUAUUUUUAAGUAGUUAGAAAAAAUCAAUUCAAAUAGGUUUAUGAUGAGUACGUGCAUUGGCAAAGCAGUCAUGAAAGUGGAAACGAAUGAACUUGGCAGCAGCUCGAUCAUCUGUUUGGAGAGCUUGAUAGACUGUAUUUAGAACAACAGCAGUCAGUUAAGGGCAAGUCGAGGCGUAGAAUAAAUUGUUAAGCUGAGCCAGAGAGGGAGCAAGCAUCAAAGCUACCACAACAAAGGCCGUAAGUUUAGAGGAAGCCAUUGCUAAUGUUUUUGGGUUAUUUGUGAGAGUAAGUUGUGGAGAAAUGGAGAGGUGAUGUUUGAUUAAUUUAUACACAGCAGCCAUGAGUUUGGGGCACAUAUAGUCGAUUGAUUCAAGGUCAUUAACAUUAAAUUAUUAACAAAAUUGAGUAUGAUUAUUUUCAACACAUCAGGGUUUUCGUUUGGUAUUUGGGCUACCUAUAUACAAUAUAAGUGCAAUCUUAUCAUUAAAAUUAAUUGUAUUUCUUACUUCAAUUUGCAGUACUAGUUAGUUUAAUAGCUCAAGUUUUAAGUGCAUAAGCAUGUUGAUAGAUAAUCAAAGAUCUUGCCGAUUAUAAAUCUUGUUAUGAUUUCCAUUAUCCAAUUCCUACAAAUUUCGAUCACUUGAUCAAAAUAUGAUUGACUUUUUUGUUUACAUAAUUCACAUUAAUGAACACGUUUUAUACUAUAAUGCAUCACCUGCCAAAAGAACUAUAUGGUAAUUCAAUUUGCAUUUUCUCUCCUUUAAGUUUAAAAGAAAUCAUAUACCAAACAAAAUAUAUGAUUUAAAUAUUUGUAAGAACGAGAGAGGAGACAUUGGGAGGACAACUUUUUGGGCCCGUUUGCUCUUUCUACACAAGCCUAUAUAUGAUUUAAAUACUGUCAUUUGCACAAGCCAAGACUUUUUGCUCUUUCUAUACUGUCCAAGAUGGAACUAUCAAAGAUGCUUGGGAAGGCUACCAUUUCGGACUGGGAUAUUUUUUCUAGAAGGCUGUUAAAAAGCUUGGAAAGGCAGCAAUGGGAUAGCCUGAAACAACCCUUUAUCUCUCCAAAUAACAAUAGAGGUCCUUAUCUCCCCAAGUGGAAGUUAAACUCUGACGGAAAAUUCACCAUUGAUUCGGUAAAAAAAGGCCUUGAUCAAUGUUGAACAAAGAGAUGAAGCUAAUAUGAGGGCUGAUAUUUUCCGGAAGCUUUGAAAAUCAAAAUAUCGAAAAAAUGCAGAUUCUUCCUCUUGUCCCUUUUACAUAAAUGCAUAAAUACAGCCAACAUACUACAAAAAAAGAUUUCGGCUCUUCAGCUCAACCCGAACUGGUGUGCCAUGUGCUAUAAGCAUUCUGAAGAGAUUGAUCAUAUCUUUACCAGUUGCAAAACUACAAAGAUAUUUUAGAAAAAGCUUGAAAUUAAGUUCUUAUUGGCUGAAAAAAUCAACAUCUUAAUGUUCAAUCCGGAUUGUGGCUGUGAUGAUAUUUGUCUCAUCAAGCAACGUAAUCAGAAGAAUGUCAUUAAGUUCAAUACUAUAUUGUGGCUGUGAUUUGGUAUGUUUGGUUGGAGAGAAAUAACGGUGUUUUCAAGGACAAGAGCAAAUGAACCAUCACUCUUUGGGAAGAUAUAUGCUCUCUUUGGGGUUAUUGGACUAGCAGGUUUUCUCUUUUGUCAAGUUACAAUGCCUCUACUAUUUCUAAUCAACCUUGCUGCUUUCUAAUUUGUUUGUAUUGAACUUUUCUCUACCCCUCUGGUAACUUUUUUGAAUUUUUUCCUUGGUUCUCACGUACAUUUAUUGAUCUAUUUUAAUGAAACGGAAAUGAUGACGGUGCUAAGGAGGUGUUCGGGUACACCUGUUGACCUAAUGUAGCUUUAAAAAAAACAAAAAAACUUUGGGUCCGUUUAUGCUAGUGUUUCUAUUUCCUGUUCCAUAUUUGUCUCGUUUCCAGUUUUUCAUUCCUUGUUCUUUAUUUUACAAUAAAAAAUAACAUUAUGUUUGAUAUAACUAUUUUCCUUUUCUGUUUCUUGAAAAAAUAAACAGAAACAAAAAAUUGUUUGAUAGUCAUUUCUUGUUUCUUGUGUUGUUUUUUUCCAACAUUUUAGUUUAAACAUAAUAUAAUUACGUAAAAAAUAAAAAAUAUAUAUAGAACUUAAUUAUAAUUUUAAAAAAUAAUUAUAAAACAUUAACAUUAACAAAUACAUCUAAGUUAAGUAAAAAAUUAAUAACUAUAAUACAAUAAUUUUUAUUAAUCAUAUGCUACUAAAUUUUGAUUUGAAAUAUUAUUUCUUAUUAAAUUAAUUUCUCUCUAGUAACGUUCAUUCAAAUUAAACUCAAUUAUAUUAGUAGGUAAACGUGUAGGAUUUUGAUUAUCUUAGUCAACAAAAUUUAUAUAACAUAAUAUUCUAAAUUUAUAUAAUAUAAAAUUCUAAAUAAUUUGAAUGAAACUAAAAAUAAUAAAUCUAAAUUGGGAGGGAUGGCCAAAAACUUCAACCUUUUUUAAAAAAAUCAAACACCUCAAUUUUAAAAAACACACUAUUAACGAAAAGCAAGUGGAGAUUAAUUUGGAUUUUGAAUACGAAUGUUCCCAUAAAUAUUAUAGUAUUUUAUCUUAUUAUUGUGUGAUAUGAGAGAAACAGAGCAACCAACCUCUGACUUUGUUGUUUUACAUCACUACUUAAUAAUAAAAGAAAACUUCCAAACACCUAAUCCAUUGAUUUAACAAGAACCACAUAUAUAUAUAUAUAUAUAUGUAUGUAUGUAUGUAUGUAUGUAGCUAAUGAACUGGAUUCAAACAUGUAAACAAACACAACAACAAAGUUGAAGUUUAUUUCUGUAAAUUUAAGUUUAAAUUAGUUAGAUAACAUCAUGGAAGGUCGUGGGUGGGUUGAUCUUCCUGCAGUUCAAUCUGACUUCAGAUGGGGUGCCAGGCGGAGGGCCAAGAUUCCCCAUUUUGAUCAUGGAAUUCCCAAAUUGAAUAAAGAACAGAAGCUGACUAGCAGCAAAUGUGUUGACAAUGCCAAUUGUAUCGGCCCCAGGGGUUGAGAAAAGCUCUUGAUCACUUUGGAGAAGCCCUUUAUGGUUUUGGAGAUUAGUGUAAUAGUUUUUAUCGAAUGUGUCUGGUGUGGUUGGAUCAAAGUUUACUCUUGUUACUGGAGUGGCACAAAGUUGGCGUAGCUGCUCCCUGUAUGCGGCGUCUAGAGUCGGGUCGGGUAGGCCAGUGUUGUUGAAGUUGUCGAACCGUCCUGUGAAGAAGAAACAUCUUGCUCGACCGAAUGUGUGCGCUCCCGAUAGGGUCACAAGGUCCGUAGAACUCAUCCCGAAGGCUGCAAAUUUGGAUUUCAGCACGUCUAGAGUUUCGAAUGGACUUGGCAGAUUUGCAGCUGCGGCUCUAUUUGCUAUUCUACUGUCUUUUCUUCCCAAUGGGACGAUCCAUGCUGGCCCUCCAGACUAUUGCAGUAAUUAACAAUCUUGUUUUAAUUAGAGAGAUAAGUUUCAAAUAUAGUAAAACGAGCUAGCUAACUUAUUUAUAAGUAUAACAGGAUGAAAUCAUCGAUACCUACCAGCACAACAGACACUUGAGAUGAGAGGGCUAAUAUGUCAGCACAAGAAACAACGCCUGGACAUGCGCUUUCAACUGCUGCUUUGAUGUUGUCCACAAUGUCUAACCCUUGGAUUCCAUUGUUUGGAGCUGCGUUCAAUUCACUGUCGAUAACACCAGGUACGUCUUCCAAUAGCACAGAUCCAUCACACCCCUACAUAAAUGACCCAACAUCCAAUAUAUCAGAAGAUGUUUAACUAAAAAAAAAAAAUGUAUUUAAGUAGUUAGAAAAAUGAAUUCAAGUAGGUUUAUGAUGAGUACGUGCAUUGGCAAAGCAGUCAUGGAAGUGGAGACGAAUGAGCUUGGCAGCAGCUCGGUCGUCGGUUUGGAGAGCUUGAGAGACUGUAUUUAGAACAAUGAAAGGUAGUUGAGGGCAAGUGAAGGUGUAGAAGAAAGGGUUAAGCUGAGCGAGAGAGGGAGCAAGCAUCAAAGCUACCACUGCAACAAAGGGUGUAAGUUUAGGGGAAGCCAUUGCUAAGGCUUUUGGUUUUGUGAGAAUAAGUUGUGGAGAACUGGAGAGGUGAGGUGAGGUUUGAUUAAUUUAUACAGCAGCCAUGAGCUUGGGCCACAAGUUGUCGAUGGAUUCAAGGUCAUUAACAAAAUUGAAUAUGAAUAAUUUGAAUACAACAUUAGGGUUUUCGUUUGGUAUUGGGUUACCUAUAUACAUGUAAUUGCAAUCUUAUCAUUAAAUUAUUUGUAUUUCUUUACUUCAAUUUGCACUGCUUACUAGUUAGUUUAAUUGUUCAAAUUUUGAAUGUAUAAAUAUGUUGAAAGAACAAGAAACAAAAAUUAUGGUUGGUAACUAUUUCUUUAAUCUUUUUGUUUAUCAUUUUUUAGUUUAAAUAUAAAAAAUAAAAAAUUAAAUAACAUUAAGCCUCACCCAGGUGAGUAAUAGAAACAAGGAACACAAAAACAAAAACGUUAUCGAACGAGUCUUAAAGUCCUUAUAAUGAUCUUUACUAAUUUCAUAGCAACGUUUAAAUACAACUUAAGCUGUAUUUAUCACAUGUAUUCCCCACUUCUCUAUCACACCAAAAAAAAAAAAAGAAAAACUUAUUUUUAAAGAAUAAAAAUAAUACGAAACAACAUUUUAUUGGAUUAUAUUUAAAUUGUACAAAGAUAGAUGCAUGUAUACAAGGGAGUACUCAAUUAAGUUUUAAAUUUUAUGAUAAUUCUUUAGUAUAAAAAUAAGUCACUGAUUGAGAUUGUAGAUUAAUAUUUACGUGUGUUUUAGAUAUAUAUUAUUUGAAUUGAAAUAGAUGUUAAGAAUAUUAUGAGAGUUGUGAAAUACCUAAUCGGAAUAUCUUAACUUGUCAUUUUUCCACAACAAAAUAAAUAAAUAUAUAUAUAUAUAUAUAUAUAUAUAUAUAUAUAUAUAUAUAUAUAUAUAUAUAUAUAUAUAUAUUAAAGAAAGGAAUUGUCCAAAGGAUAUUAUAACAAAACCUGAAAACCAUUCCUUUGUUUUCUUCUUUCAAACUUUAUUAUAUAUAUGUAAAUAGUACUAAAUAGCUACCUAACAACCCCCUCCAUAGUCCACAUCCAUAUAGCUUUUAUACCAAAAAGAAUAUUACUUACUCACCUCGUUUAUACUAUCCAUCUUUGAAUAGUCUAUUAAAUUUUAAAUACUUUAGUACAUUUUUACGUGAGUCGUGAGAAAAUACACCCAAUAUUACCUCAUUUAAUUUGAUAUCUUCUCCAUUUUUCUCUCUAGAAAAAGUAAAUUAUUUUUUAAAAAAUGGUUCAUUUUCUUAUGUUUGUAUGCAUAGCUGUUUGUUGAGUUAAAAGUCAGUAAAAGAAAAUUUAUUCAAAUUUUAAAUUCAACCCUUACUUUUUAAAAAGAAAAAAAGGAAAGAAAAUCUUGAAAUUUGAAAUUUUAGACAUAGACUUCGAUAUAUUCUAUUUUUAAAUAUGUAAAUUUGACUGAUUCAAAACUUUGAUUUACAUUCCAAAUAUUAUGUUAUUUGCCUGUAAAGUCCAUCCUAUUAUUUUUGUUUAUUUAGAUAAUGUAAUCUAAGGCCCUUACCCAAAACUCAAUAGUUUAUUAAUUUAAUAACCUAAAUAAAACUAAAUAAAUAUAUUUUUUUAGAUUAUGAGAAAUAAAAAGAAAAAAGAGGAGUGGGUGAGUAAAGUUUGCAAAAUUUAAGCAGCCUUAUUUAAUUUAAUUAAUAAUUUUGAAUAAUAUAAAAUGAAAAAGUCCAUUUAAAUCCGAUCAACUUUGUCAAAAAUCCACGUGCCAUUUUUACCAAUUUCAAAUAUUCAUAUCCUCAUAUCCUCAUCUCAUUAUAUAUAUUUUUAUUAUAUAGUUUUAAUUUAAUAUAUGGUUGUUUUGAAGUCUCCGUUGGAUGGCGUCGGACAAAUUGGAGAAAUUGCCACGAAGGAUCCACGAACUUCCCUUCUUUUAAUUUACUUCUAAUCAUUUUGACUAUUUAUACUCUUCAUCUCAUUAUAAUUUUCUCCACAAUUCAUCCCUUUAUUAUUUGUUUUAAUUAAUUUAAUUCCAUUCAGAUUGAGAUUUUGAGAUUGUUUGGUGUUGUUGUGAGUUUUGAUAUCAUCCUCAUCCUUCCGAGAUUUAGAUUGGAUUUCUAAGUUUAGGAUUAUUUGGAUGAAUGAUUCGCAAUAUAUUUAGACGAGUGGUUAGGGUUUAGUAUGCACCUUCGAGAACUACUAACGUGUGACGAUACAACAUUCUAAACUAAGAGAAUAAUAAGUUACUCAAUAAUAUUUAAAGUUAGGAUUUUACGUGAAUAUUGAUUAAGGGGAUCGAGUUGUACAUGUCCUUAUUAAUGUUAUGACAACUGUUAUUGUACAAUAUAAUUUUAAUUGUUGAGUCAAUCUAUGAUCAGUACGUUGAUCGAUGUUUAAAGUGUUGUAUCCUCAAUCAUAAAACAUUGUAACGAUCAAUUACUACACAACUAAUGUAAUCUCUUAUUAUGGGCAUAGUGUCCCCAACAGUUUGAUGAUGUCCUUCCGUAGUUGUUCUUUUUUAUAUUAAUUUUCGAUACAACAAGCAACAAUAACUAAGUGUGUGAUUUUUCAAUCUAGUCUCGAUAACAAAGGCUGAGAUUGGUUUGUUUAAUUUUCUCAAUCUAAUGAUAUUAGUUAAAUUUUAUAAUUAAUAUCUUUGGUAUCUUUAAAUUUAUUAUCUUUUCAUUCUCAAUUCUCACCCAACCUUAAACCUUCCUACCAAACUAAUAUACCUACAAGAAAAUAUACAACAUUAACUCAUCAAUUACUACACAAUAAUAUCAACACAGUAGCACACAAAAGAACAACUAUACAGUAUUUGACUAUAUAAUAUUAGCUAGUGCCAAGUUAAAAUUAAGAGCAAAUCAUAAGGCCCAUUAUUUGGUAUUUACAGAGAGUGACAAAAAGAACAAAGAAAAAGGUUCGAUCCCAAGCAAAUGAGACCUCAAUAUUCACACAAAUGAAUAUACAUUUGACUGAUUAUGCAUUGUUGAUAAAUUUGUUAACUAUGCACUCAUUUAUUAUACUCUUGUGAUAAACUUAACAAUGCUACAUUUGAUUAUACCCACGAUGAUAAUGAUACAUUAAUUUAUAUAUUAUAAUGAUAUAUGGUAACUAUUUUAAUAUUUAGAGUGGCAAAGGGCCAAAAGACACUUUAAAUCCGAGGCUGCGAUUAGGUAAUUGCUAAAGUUUUAAUAAUUAAUUAAUAAGUAAAGAGGAAGUUGGAUCAAAUUUUGUAAUUUUAAGGUUGCCUUAGUGGGUUCUUGGUGGGUUCAUGGCUUUGGAACUGCACAAAUCUCCAAAACAAUUAAACAAAAAUGUUUAGCCACAAACCAAAGAUUAAAAUAUGAACGAAUAUCUAAGUUCGACACCUACGCCCUUAUUACGUUUAUAACUUAGUUUUAUUGAAGAACAAACCAUAAAACAACGACAUACAAAACCAUCCAAAACCACAAGUAAUUAAACAAAGUUACAUAAAAUCACGACCUUCAUCAGUACUUCUAGGCCUUCUUGGAUUAACCCUCCUACAAUUCAAUCUAAUCUCUCCUUUGUUUCCGGUUAAAGGAGUAAUAUUUCCCAUUUUGAUCAUAGACUGACCAAAACUUUUGAAAAACUCGCCUUGCUUUUUGGCAAACCGGUUCACAAUCCCCACCGUGUCAGCCCCACUAGUUGAGAACAGUACUUGAUCACUCUCCAAAAGUCCUCUUAGCCCUUGAAGGUUCGUGUAAUAGUUUUUGUCAAAUGUGUCUGGAGUCGUCGGAUCAAAAUUGGCUCUUGUCUCUGACCCACUUGAGCAAAUUCUUUUGAGCUGCUCUCUGUAGGCUGGGUCCAGCGUUGGGUCUGGCGUGUCGAAUCUUUGGCUGAAAAAUGCGCACCUUGAACGCCCAAAUGUAUGUGCUCCUGAAUUUAAACCCAAUAAUUAGUUUGAUUAUUUAACCCCGACCGUUAAUGGUUAAUUAAUUUUGUAUUAAUUUUACCAGACAAAGCCACGAGAUCAGUGGAAUUGAGACCGAAAGCACCAAAUUUGGCUUUGAGUGCAUUGAGAUCUUCAAAGGGACUGGCGAGGUUGUUUGUGGCUCCUUCUUUAUUCGCUGUUCUGCUGUCUCUUCGUCCUAAUGGCACAACCCAGCUCGGCCCUCCAGCCUGAAUUCAAAACUACUUUGUUUAUACUCUUUUUUUUAAAAAAAUAAAAGUGGGUUAUGAUAUGAUAUGAUAUGAUAUUUAGUUACCAAUACGACGGAUUCUUUGGAGGCAAUGGCUAAGAUGUCAGCACAAGAGACAGUGCGAGGGCAAGCCUUUUCAACAGCGGAUUUGAUGUCAUCGACAAUGUUAAGACCUUGAAUGCCUUGAUUUCCAGGGGCAUCUAGUUCACUGUCUAUGCCUGGUGCAUUCUCUAGCAAAACAGACGCAUCACACCCCUGCAAUAUUACCCAUAUUUCACAUCAAUUUUCGUUUUCAGCAAAAAAAAAACAUAAAAAUGUAGAAUGAAACUGAGAUUUGUUGUUAAUUAGUUGGAUACGUCAACAAAGCAGUCAUGAAAAUGGAGACGAAUUAGCUUGGCUCCAGCUCGAGCAUCGGUUUGCAGAGCCUUAGCAACGACAGCAUUCACAAUAUUAGGUAAAUUAGGACAUGUUUUGGCGUAAAAUGAAGGGUUUAGUUGAGCCAAAGAGUGUCCCACCAGGAAACCCAAUAAGCAAAACAAUGGGAAGAAUAGUGGAGAGUUAGAAGAAUCCAUUUUAAUCAUUGUUGGUGAGAAUGGGAGUGGUGACUUAGCUUCCUUUUUAUACAUAAUUUGGAGUAGAGACAAGAGUAAGUUCUGUAUAAAAGUGAAAGGUGAAUUGUUUUAAAAAUAAUUUCAGGUCACCUUUAGGAUAACCCACAUGGGGCUGCCACGCCUCCUAAUGCCUUUGCUUUUCUCAAGAAAAAAAAUUACAAAAAAUUGUUAAAAAGGAAAAGCUUGAGAGUGUGUUUCAUUCAUAAUUUUGGAAGGAAAGUUGCCCUCUAUACGAGCUGGUGGACUCCAUCAUUAACAAAAUUGAUUUUAUACCUUAAAAACUUCUUACAUUUAAUAACUCUUUACUCAUCAAUAUUCAAUUCCUUACUCUAAACCGUAUCUAAAAGUUCGUAUGGAGUCGAAUUGUUGUAUUUGUUUUAUUUUGAUUCCUAAACAUUAUAAAAAAAAAUUAAACCCUCAAUUCUUUAAAGUGCUUAUAUUUUUUGGUUGUUGUUAUAAUAUUUAUACUAAAAUUUUCAAGAGAAUUAGGGUGAUUCUCGUAUAUUUGGAUGACUUGACCACAAAUUAAGCUCAUCCAUCUAACAAAAAAAUCUAGGGUUUUAAUUUUGAAUUAAAUGUUAGAGGAUGAACGAAUGUUUAAUGGAAGAACUUAAAAGUCACAUUGUCAUGAGAUUUUAAUCGUUUACUAUUUUGGUGAAUUGGUUAUUGGCAUUCUACUACAUUUUCUAACUCAUGUGGGAGAUACUAAAACAUUCAAAUUUUAAGUGUUUUAUCCCUUAAGUUUGUGAUUCAUGAAUGCAUUUUUUUUUCUCGUAUCAUUUUUUCUUCAUUUUUUAAGUUAUGGGAUUCAUUGCAUGUACUGAGAAUAUUUAUUUUCAAUUUCUUAGAGUGUAUUAUCUACCUGAGUUGCAUUUAUUUGAUUUUUAGUUUAUUUUAUCUCGUCACGAGUUGUUAAAUGUUAACGCCCAACAUGCCACUCAUUUUUAAUUUUUUAAAACAAAGCUACAUGGUCGUUCUAGUGACUAAAGUAAAUGAUUUUUAAAAAUUUAAUAAUUUAAUAGACAUUUUUUUUAAGUUUAGAGAUCAAAAUAUAAAGCAACGUUCAAAAUUUAUAGACUAAAAUAAGAUUUAAACAUUUGUUUGAAUGAAAUCACAUGCAUACAUAAAAACAAAAACAAGUAAUUAAUUAUGUUUGUGAUUUCACCCAAAAUACUCAAACAUAUUAAAUUUUGGUGUUAUUUACGUCUGUGAUUUCAUCGUGAGAGCAUACACAUAUAUCAUAUAUAUAGAAUCUCAAUGUUAUUUUGCUCAUAAUUAAAGUAGAGAUUCACAUAACUUUUUCAAAUUAUAUGCGAUCUCUCCAAAUUCUAUACCAAACUCUUACCUCUCCCUCCCUGUAGUUCUCAAAUCAUGUAUGAGAACUUGCAAAUCUUACCUACAAUUUAUAUUUACACAAAUGUCUAAAUUAUUUAAAUAAUUUACCAAUUAUCUUUCCAAAUUUCUCUUAAUUGAGUAAUAUCAAUAGUGUGAUUUUUCAAGGGAGAAUUAUAAAAGAAAAUAACAAAUUUAACAAUAUAUAUAUUUACAACAUAUAGCAAAAUUUUCAGAUUAUAUUAAUAAUAAACUUUGAUAGACAUCGAUAUGUUUCUAUCAAUGAUAUUGAUAGAUAGUGAUAGAAGUCUAUCCGUUUCUAUCAUUAAUAGAAUAAAAAAUUUACUAUAGCCGGUAAAUAUUACUAAUUCUAGAAAUGUCCCGGGAGAAUUACAUGGGCAUUUGAAUUUGUAAUUUUUACCAAAAUCUUCAUUGGUAUUAUAACAAGAAGGUCCAAAACAAUCAACUCGUUAAAAGAAUAAACUUUCAAACUAAAUCUUAGUUGGUAAGCUAAGGAGAAAACUUAAAUUUUUUUUACCAAAAUAUCUCGAUCGAUAAUAUAACAAGAAAGUUUAAAACGUUAAAUUUUGAACUAAAUUUUGGUAUCGAUUUCGCCCGAGAAACGAAUUUUAAAGUGUAAUAGUUUGUAAGGUAAGGUGGAAAACUUAAAAGCAUAGUAUUGUUUACAAUCUGCGAAAGUUCAUCACCCAUAACCUCAAAUAUAACACUCACGUUUAUAAUGUUUUUUUUCUUUUCUUUUAUAAGGUGACGUAAAAGAUGAUUAUAUUCAGAAACCCAAACUUAAUGGACAUUAAAUUCUUCCAUACCUUCACUUUCUUUUUGUCUUUUGUAUGAAACACUAUAGUUUUGAUUGGGAAAAAGAGUCUCUCUCGAACACUGCACGCCAUCUUUGAAAGUAAAUAAAAAUGUAAUCAUAUGUAACUUUCCUUUGAAAGGGAAAAAGAAAGCAAAAUGUAAAGUUUACGUUUUACGUUUUAUGGUUUAGGGUUUAGGGUUUAGGGUAAAAUAAAAGGUAGAAUCCUUUUGUUCAUCCGAAUUUUAGGUUAGUUUUCUCACCUACCAAGUUUAAGAGAAUAGUUUUCAUUAAAACAUACUAAAACAACAACUAAUUAAAUAAAUAAACGUUUUCGACUACCAACGUAUACUAAACAUUUUGUAAAUCCUCGAAGCUUUCAAAAGUUUUUAUUUAUUUUUUAAAUAUCAUUUUGGGUUGUUAAUAUCCUUUUACUUAAUUUUUAUUUCUCUCCACCUUUCUUUUGCAAUUUUUUCUUUUUUAAACUUAUGGGUAUUUAUGAACUUUAAUAGUUCAAAUGUAUUUUUUUAUACAAAUUAACUUUAACAUUCUCAUAGAAAAAACUAAUAAUAAAUGUGUAGUAUCUGUUAAUCCUUUUAAAAUUUUAAAAGUUUAGAAACAUUUUUUUUAUGCAAAAUACAAAGUUAUAUGGGCAUAUUUAUAUAUAUAUAAUUUAGUCUAAUGAGACAAUUAAAUAGGUAAAAGACUACGAUUCUAUUAAAUUUUAAUUAAACUUUACAUUUUUCAUUUUUUUAAAGUAGAAUGGCAUAUAUCCUUAAGGAGAUUGUUAGUUUAGUUUUCUAAUUAUUCAUGUUGAUAAUAUAGUCUGCUAUUUGCUUGUACUGUGUUGAAUCCCUUUUCUUUUGUAUCAGUAAUGAUUAGGUACAACUCCCUGCUCUCCUUUCUAUACUCGCACCAAAAAAUAUUUAAGAAAUUCUUUUUCUACUUCACACUUUCAACUGCUUAGAGUUGCACAAAUGAUCAGAGGUGCAGUUCAAGUAGCAUAUCUAAAUGUUUUAUAUUGAUUUCUGUUUCUUAUGCAUCAUCAUUGGGAGUACUUUUGUAUCCAUAAUAUAUUGUACUGAUGGAUCAUUCUUCUCUAAACUACUUGUUAUCUCUUUUAUCUAACUAUAUUACAAAUGAGAAUGAAGAUGUAUUAGGUAUCUACGGUUGAGAAUCUCACGUUAGAAAAACUAUAUAACUAAAGGAUUUGAUGCUCUUUGAUAAGAUAAAUGAUAUAUAUUUCUUUUAUUUUCAAUUAGCUUUAAGACAAACUCAUGUUAUUAAUAUAUGGUAUUAGAUAAGAGAGACACUAUCUAACUGUUUGUCGAUAUUGAAGAAAUGUUUCAAAAUAUAUGUUAAAGUUGUUGAAGCGUCAAAUGACAUCGUCUUUGAAUUAAUUAUACGAUUUUCUCGAUCUUUCUUGAUUUUCAUACUGAUUUCAAACUUUGAGGUAUCAAAGUGUGAGUCUAUAUUUACGAAACCUAAAAACGCUUUUUACAAAAGUUAAAAAAGAAAAGAAAGAAAAGUAGAAAUGUGUUAUAUACUUAUUGGGAGAAGUACUCAUGUGGAGUGGUGGAGGAGAGGGGUGGUGCUGCUCACCUAACUCCAUAUUAUAAAUAUUGCAAAAGUAGGGUUUUGAUAUUUUUUUGACGGAGACCCUUGCAAAAAUAGCAAAAACAAUUUUUAUAAUAAAAUUCAUGUUACUAUAUUUUCUAAUUAAAUUACAAAUGUAACAACUUAAAAAGUCAAUAAUUCGCCUAUAUCACUAAUUAUACAUAUGUAUAUUGUAACAUGCAGAACAAAACUGGUGCGAUAGGCUAUUUUUUUCUGAACAAAACUGGUGUGAUACACUAUUUUUUUCUGAAUAUUUUUGUUAGGGGAAUUUUCUCUUUUUAUAAAACUGAUGUGGGUCCCACACCCUUAUAUAUAUAUAUAUAUAUAAUUCAUUUUUCUCAUCAUAUUCAUGUGCUGAUAUUUUUCAAUUUCCAAUUUCACUUUCUCCCUAUUAAUUAUUGUAGUAGCCAUAAUUAUUAUUACACUAUGGUGCAAAGCAGGAGCUAUAUCUUCCCUUUUUAAUCCUCUUUCAUUAACAUUAUACUUUUAUUUUUUAAAAAAAUUAUUUUAAACAGCUAUUUGAAAAUAUUCACAAAUUACAUCAAUACUUGACUUCUAUUAAAAUAAUAGAUAUCAAUACUUAUCACUAAUAAUAAGAGAAGACAAAUUUUGUUAUAUUUACAAAUAAGUGUUGGACUCAAUUAUUGUUAUAUUUGAAACCAUUGUUUAUGUUUCUUUUAGUCAAAACCCACGUUAAAGUUGUAUUCAUGUGUUGAUCCUAAUUUGAUUCCUCAAAAGUUAGGGAGGAAUUAUUUAAAUUCUUUAAAAUAUUUUUAUUUAGAAAAAAAGGUGGAAAAGAAGAUAAAGCACUUUUGGACACAGCAUGCUAAAAUUCUUCGUGGUCUUCAAAUAAUUUUGAUGCAAUUAGAGAAGUUUAAGAAGAAGAAAUAUAAAGAGAGGAAGAUAAUUGUAAUAAUAUAGUAGCCAUAUAUUUUAUACUAAUAAUACAAGAGGCAGAAAGUACUUGUUGGAGAGCUAUGAUUGACGUCGAUCACUAAUAUAAUAGAGUAAUUGAUAAAUAUCUGGAAGUCUAUACAAAACAGGUAGUAUUAGAAGUAGAAACAAAGUCUCAUAUUGAUGAUUAAGGACCAUAUAAACAUAGAUACUCAUCUCUAAUCGUAGGAGGCGUCGUGGAGAAAGAAACAAACAAAAGCAUGUUUAUUUAAACAAACAAAUUAGAGGGUAUGAAACUUUUUUUCUUUUGUUUUGGAGAAAUAGAGAAAAGAAAAGAUAGAAAGAAGAGAAAGGGCCAGCGUUGGUUAACAUAAAACAUAUGAAGUGUUUCCAUAUGGUAAAAUAAAUUAGCAGUUACAUAACAGCAGUACCAGCAGCAGUAGUAGUAGGAUUAACACGCCUACAAUUGGUCCUGAUUUCUCCCGCCGGUGCCACUAACGGUUGAAUGUUCCCCAUAUUUAUCAUUGACUGACCAAACUGAGCGAAGAAAUCAGAUUGGUUCCCGGCAAAACGGUUGACGAUCUCGAUGGUUUCUGCCCCUUCGGUUGAGAACAGCUCUUGAUCCGAUUGGAGAAGCCCACGGUUGGUAACCAAAUCAGUGUAAUAUGCAUUGUCGAACGCAUCCGGUGUCGCCACGUCCAGUGCGAUGCGGUUGUUUCCAUCGCCGGUCGGACAAGCGAUGACCAAUGCAUCCCGAAAUGUAGGGUCAAGAGUCGAGUCUGGACUUCCGGUGCCAUUGAAGUUGUUUAGCCUCCCACUGAAGAAUACGCAUCUUGACCUUCCAAAUGUAUGCGCUCCUAAUAAUAAAAACCAUAAUACAUUUAUUGUUCUUAAUUACUUUGUUAGUUAUAUAAAUUAUAUAUAUAUAUAUAUAAUAAAAUUGUUAAAUUAUUACCAGAUAAAGUCACAAGAUCGGUAGAAUCGAGCCCAGCUGCAUUAAAUUUUGCUCGAAGUUGAUCGAGUGUUUCAAAAGGGCUUGGGAGGUUGUUUUCAGCUCCAGUUCUAUUUGCAUUUUGGCUAUCUCUUCUUCCUAAUUGGACUACCCAACCUGACCCUCCUGUCUGCAUUUAGAUUAUUGCAUGUUCAAAUCUUCACAUCCAUACGUUGUUACCGAAAACAUAUUAACUUUUGAUAAAUAUAUGUACUAAUUAAAUUACCAAGACAACAGAUUCACGGGCUGAAAUGGCUAAGAUAUCUGCACAAGACACAGUGUUUGGACAAGAAGCUUCAACUGCAGUUUUGAUGCUGUCGACAAUGUCAAAGCCUUGUAUUCCUUGGUUUCCUGGUGCAUCUAAUUCACUCUCUACACCAUCUUGAUUUUCUAACAAAACUGACCCAUCACAACCCUGUACUCAAAUUCAGUCAUAUAGAAUGCAACUUAAGUAUUAAUUUUAAAGUUCGCCAUAUAACUAGUGGAAGAGAAUAACAAAUGAGGUCUUACGUUGACAAAACAAUCAUGGAAGUGAAAGCGAACAAGCUUGGCUCCGGCUCGAACAUCACCCUGCAAUGCCUGGCUUACAGUAUCUCUGACAACGGCGGUAAGAUUAGGGCAAGACUGGUCGUAGAAGGUAGGGCUGAGUUGGGCAAAAGAGCCCCUCAACAUCAUACACAACAAGGCUGCUAAAGCUGCAACUUUAGGGAACGACAUGGUCUAAUAAUUUUGGUCUUAAUUAUAACUAAAAUUGAAGGAUUAUAGAUAUAUUAUUCAGAAUAUAUAUGAUCAAUGAAUGAAACUAUAAAUCUAACCCUUCCCUUUUAUACACAAAGAUGGGAUUCAUUGUUAUUUUUAUUUUAUGUGAACUUCAAAGAUCAAAAUGGAGUGUUCAACAACCAUAUUUUCCAACUUUGUAAAGUAUAUUAUAUAUGAAUAAACGACACACACUAAAUUCAAAAUGCUAAAUUUAGUUAAAUAUUGUUAUGUUCUACUAAUUAUUUUUAAACUCGACUAUGAUUAAUUAUUUAACAAAUUUGUUGAGUUGUAAUAUGAUAUAUAUUCUGAUAACUACCCUUGAUUAGAAGAGAAAGAGCUGAAUAAUGAAAAACUUUUCGAAUACAAUAUUUGAAAAGAAAAGAAGCAUAUAAUCUUUGAAAAAAAGAAAAAUAUUGAAGUUCUCUCCAAAUAUAUAUAUAGUUAAAAUGGAAUUAAUUAAAGAAAAAUAUUCGUUGGUAUCUACUUUGUUGAUAUAAAACAGCUAAUUUAAUUUAAUUAUCAGACCAUUCCAAAACCAUAUGCUUUUACAAAAUGAUAUUAAUAUCGAGACCUUGAUCACUUUUAUAUAUAUAUUGUUGACCAAUAUUAUUCGUUUUUUCACUACUUUUGUUUCUUCCUAUAAUCUUUUUAAAUUAUUGUUAGGGUAGUUGGCAAUUUGGGCAUCGUUAUUCUUCAAAGACCAACGGGGCAAUGACUAAGAACAAAGUUAUGUAUGUUUUCUCAUUAAACUAAAUAGAAUAAAGUGAUGAAGGGUUAGGCUUACACCAUGCAUAUAUACUAUGUAACAUACAAAGCAAUAUUGGAAGAUUUAUUUGAUGUAGUAUACUUGCCACCAUUUCAACCUCAAACCUAAAACUAUGUAAUAUAUAGUUUAAUCCGUCUAGCUUAUUUAAUAUCGUAUUAAAUAAUAAUAUAAGCUUAAGUUUUUCUAUAAUUGAGCUUUGUACAUCAAUAAUAUUAGGGUAUGAGUCGAACUAUUAUGAGAUCAAUAUAUAUCCUUUUUUAGGUGGAUUUGAUCGUACUUCUCCGAGAAGUGAUGAACAAGAUUAAAGAUAUCUAGCUACUUAUAAAUAAUAACAUAAUAUAAUUUUUUUUUUCCAUUUUGGUCCAUAUAUAACAUUUAAAAUGUUUGUUUUCAUCAUAAAAUUUCCCAACUUACCUAUUUUCAUACUCUCUUUUUUUCCUCUUUCAAUAACUCCAAAAUAAAUAACGGUCAUUAAUCAAAAUAAAUCGUAAAUAAAAUGCUUUCUAACUUUUUGUUGUGAGCUUAGCUCUAACUCUUUAGCUUUCGUGCUGUCGUUUGACUUUUGUCUAUUGUAAUUGUACUAAUUUUUCCUAUAUUAAUGAAAGUGAAGAUGAAUGGGGUGCUAAGGGGUGUCUACCUAAUAAAGAUGUAUUGGUGCACCUGUUGAUCCAUAUUGUAUAUUUUAUUAUUUAAAAAAAUUAAUUCUUUUAUGCCCCAAAAUUGUCCCUCUAAAAGAAUAAUGUGCUUUUUUAAACAAAAAAAAAAAAAAAAAGGAAAAAGAAAAAAAUUGCUUCAUUUGAUAAUGAAAUGUUGUAUUAAUCUUUAGUUUAUAAAUAAAUUAGUCACGUCCCACAAUUAUGUUCAACAAAUUUCUCUUUGAUCAUAAUUUGUUAAUAAAAGGAAGAAGUUAAGACAUUACAUCUAUCAUAUUAAUAAAAAAUUUGAAUAUUUACACCAACAUGCAUUCUAUUUCUAUCUAACAAUAAGAAUAAAAUAUGUUAAUUAAUUAAGAUCAUUAACAUAACUACAAAAUAUUUAAAGUUAAUUAAUUAAAGACUCAAAUUCUUCUUUUUCAUAUAUUAUUGUUGUUCUAGAAAUGAUAAACGAAAUACAGUACAUCAAAUAUAAAUAAAUAAAUACACAUACACACAAACAUAUAUAUAUAUAUAUAUGUAUUGAGUUGGUGUAGACUUGAUUCAUUAAUUUAUUAAAGAUGGCUGAAUUAAAUUACAAAGGGUGAAUAUAUUAAUAUCCAGCAACCUAAAUUUGUCUGUUCUACUAAAGCAAUUGAAUCCAUACAUAUCUAUCCACAGACCAAAAUAAUAUAACAAAUCAACCAAAAUAAUAUAACAAAUCAAACAAUUGGAUGAAUAUAUGGAAACUGCUUCUCUAAUUAAAAUCAAACAUGUGCAAUUUUGCCAAUUUUAUUUUCAUGUACUUUAUAUUGAAAACAUCUCCAACUUUCCAAGGUCUUUAAAAUAUCCAUAAAUGAACUAAAAUAUUUAUAAAUACACCAGGAAAUGUAAACAAUGAGAUAAUGCAAGACACUAAUGUAUUACUAGUAGAUCAUAUUUAUUACUGCAUGUCUAUAUAGUUGAUGGAUGGUUAAGGUUUAGUAUAUUUGAAUUAUAGUAGCUAAGAGGAAUUAACGAUUCCGCAGUUGUUUCGAAUCUGUCCAUUGGAGCCAGUGAGUGGGCUCAUAUUCCCCAUCUUGAUCAUGGCUUUAACAAAGUCGCUGAAGAAAAGCGUAGUGUUUGAGCUAUAAGCUUCGACCAACGGUUUUGUAGUGGUUUGAGCUUCAUCGCUUGAGAACAGGAUCUGGUCGGACGCCAACAGCCCCUUUUGGUUCAGCAAGUUCUUGUAGUAAUGGUUGUCAAAUAAAUCGGUUGAGUUUCGGUCGAGAACAGUGGUCUUGUUGCCGUCAUCGGUGAGAGGGCAGAGAGCUUGAAGAUCAGAUACCAUCAUGGACUCCAUGGUUGGGUCUGGAGAAUCACUUCCUGAGAAGUUGAACAGCCUAUUGUUGAACAUCGCACAUCUUGCAAAUCCAAAUGUAUGAGCUCCUGCAUGCAUGCCAUGCAACCAAUAUUAUUCCUUGAUCAGUUAGCGGUUUGAUGGAUUACAUCUAAUUAUCCCAUUUUAUAUGUCACGUUGAAUAAUUUUAAGAUUGGAAUUCAGAUCCAAUUCAAAGAACAACAAAUGAGUUGUAAUGGGUUAUUACUCAAACUUUAACUUCAAACGAAAAUUGGCUGUGUGCUUUCAACAUUUAACUGAUGACAUUAAAAUCAAUGAAACAUGCGAUUCUCAAACUUUCCUUUUAACUUCUUUGUUAUUUCACACUAUAGUGACAUUUUUUUUCCCUUACGUACGUUUCAUUUAUUUCUUUCACGAUAUAUAAUAGAAAGAUUGAUUUACGAACAGUUGUUAUUACAACAGAUUUCAUAAUUCGAAAAUUGUAAACAUGCAUGCAUGAUUUGGUUAAAUAUAUAAUACAAAUAUAUAGACGCACCAGAUAAAGCCGCGACGUCAGUCACAUUGAGCCCAACUUGAAUGAAUUUCUUGAUGAUACCAUCAAGGCUUUCAAAUGGAGAAGGAAGUUCCUCGGCUCCUGUUCUAUUCGCUACCAAUCCAUCUCUUCUCCCCAAUAAUACUUUCCAUGCCGGUCCUCCGCUCUACAACAUAUUUCAACCAUAAUAUUGAUUAAAAUCCCCCCUCCCCCCAAAAAAAGAGCUAUAUCUAUAACUAUAUCUAUACAUAUAUAUACUUGAGUUGGUGAUUAAUUACCAAGAGAACAGAAUCUCUGGCAGCUAUGGUUAAUAUAUCAGCACAAGAUACAACUCCCGGACAUGAAUUCUCCACUACUGCUUUGAUGUUAUCCAUAACUUCAAGCCCUCUCAGAGAAUUGAUGUUGGGAAGUGCAUUUUGCUCCCCAUCACUCCCAUCCAACAGCACAGACGCGUCGCAACCCUGUUCGUUUGUAGUGUUAGAUUAGUAAGUGCCAUGGAUCACGGUUUUAACGCUAAUAAUUUAACAUACAGCAAGAAUGGAAAAUAUAAACACACUUUUCUUAACGGUAGACUUUAAUCCUAACAGAGGUCAAUAAGUUGAUAGAUGUUUCAACACCUAAAUCUAAAUUUUACUAUAUUUGUAAUUUUUUUUAUUGUGUUAUAUAUACUACUAAUACUUUGAAUUUGAAUUUGAGUUUGAGUGUUAUAUUUGAAACUAUUCUCCUAAAAAAUCAUGAAAAGAACUAAUAAAUGCAAUGAUAAUGCAUGUUUAAUUACGCUAACAAAGCAGUCGUGAAAAUGGAGGCGAAGAAGGGAAGCAGCCAUUCGCAUAUCGUUCUUGAGAGCAUUGAUGACUUCUCUCCUCACGAUUCUGAGAACAUUUGGACACGAUCUUCUGUAGAAAUCUACAGUUAAUUGAGAACUAGUGGAACCACAAAUCAUGAAAAAAAUUAUCAUGAUCAUAACCAAAGAAAAACUUCUCUUCAUUCUGCUGGUUGAGAUAAUUUCCAUGGCUGCUCCUAAUAAUAUGAGCACACAAACUUUCAGAAACUAAGUACGAUUCAUAAUCUGAUGAAGGCCUUAAUUUAUAGCCUAAUGAAAAAGAGGCAUUAGCUUU